RNAcentral lists this ribosomal RNA (256 nucleotides) under uncultured Actinomycetales bacterium. RNAcentral describes it as "partial 16S ribosomal RNA". It matches the Rfam family "Bacterial small subunit ribosomal RNA", at positions 77 to 334 of the family's 1533-position model. The record is from RNAcentral. Lineage: Bacteria; Bacillati; Actinomycetota; Actinomycetes; Actinomycetales.
CUUUUGUGGGGUGCUCGAGUGGCAAACGGGUGAGUAACACGUGAGUAACCUGCCCUUGACUUUGGGAUAACUUCAGGAAACUGGGGCUAAUACCGGAUAGGAGCUCCUGCUGCAUGGUGGGGGUUGGAAAGUUUCGGCGGUUGGGGAUGGACUCGCGGCUUAUCAGCUUGUUGGUGGGGUAGUGGCUUACCAAGGCUUUGACGGGUAGCCGGCCUGAGAGGGUGACCGGCCACAUUGGGACUGAGAUACGGCCCAG